UAUAUAUGCAGCAAUUUAUUAAUCAACGAUAAAUUUUUAAAUAAAGUUCAGAUCCGCAACGAAUUAAUUUUUAUCUUGUCAGAUUGAAAAAUAUCGUAAAAAAAAAAAACAAAGCAUAACGAAUGAAAACGUGGAUAGAAUAUAAGUAUAGAACAAAGGUGCAUGACUACGUGUCAAGCAAAGAACAAUGAAUCCAAUGCAGUCAAAUUUAGAAGAAAUAGUUUUAGUUUUAUUUGAAUAUAAUGCUUAUGGUAUUUUAUAUUAAAUGAAAUAUAAACUCUAAUCAAUAAUAAUAAAUGAUAUGAGGAUUUGAAAUACAUUGAUAAUUAUGAAGAAACACUUUUCACAAGUCUUCAGAGUAGUUGAUUCCAUUGUGAUUGUAAGGUUCAAAUUCAAUAGAGAAAUGGCUGCAAAGGGUAUAAAAACUUUUGACAUUAUAUCAUAUUAGCUUCUAAAUCAGUUACUAAGAUGUAGAACUCUGAUUAAAACAACUUUGUAACUUGUUUCAUUCACUUUAAAAUGUUACAUUCUGUUUUCACCAUGUAUUGGUUCAAAUCUUGAUUGCAUUAUUAUUCAAUUAGUUUAAUAAAGCAUUAAAAUCAAUGUUCAAUAUCUUCAGCUUCUGAAGAUGUUUUCAGGGAAUUUUGACAAGUCUUCCCAAUCCUGAAGGUGGUGAACGUGGAAAAUUGUAUAGUUUGCCUGCUCUGAAUGAUCCUAGAAUUGUUCCCCAUAUUCUAUAAGGAUUCUGCUAGAUUCCGCAAGUAGAAAUUGUGACAACUUUAAAGUGACUAAGAAUGACGUCGAAUUGAUUAUGGAUUGGAAGAACAUUUCUACUAAGCAAACUGAGAUUCCUUUCAUGCCAGCUCGUGUUCUGCUUCAGGGAUGCCAUCGGGGUUCCGGCUUUGGUUGAUCUUGCUUCUAUGAGGGAUUCCACGAAGAACCUUGGCAAUGAUCCUAAUGAGAUUAGUCCUCUGGUUCCAGUGGAGCUUGUUAUAGAUCACUCAAUUCACGUUGAUGUAGCAAGAUCAGAUGAUGCACUACAAGCAAAUAGGGAAUGUAAGUUCUAUAGGAGGAAUUGAAGCAGAGGCAAAAAUGCUUGGCCAGGUAAAGUAUAUUUAAUAAAAGUUGUUUGUUUCUAGAUAUAAAUCAAGAUAAAAAUUGCAUGUUAGCUUAUAGUUUUAGUAGUAUGAUCUGAUUACAUAUGUUUUCACAUAUUUCUAGCUUUGAUGAUCAUGAUAACUGCAUUCAAAUUUUUGGUGUGACAGCCAAUGAGUAUGAUCUUGCCUGGUGUUGCGAAAACAUGGUGUCCUCAGCUUAUUGAAAUAUACCUUCAGGUGAAGGCAUGGGAGAAAUGUCAUUGGCUGAUAGCCUGAUAGGGCUACAAUUGCAAAUAUGUGUCCAGAAUAUGUAUUCUCUUAGAUUAACAGGAAUAAGUGAACAAAAAGUGACACAUUCUUUCUGUU
This is a non-coding RNA of Arachis ipaensis, 1463 nucleotides long. The record is from RefSeq and is a predicted model, not a curated record. NCBI's taxonomy places the organism in Eukaryota, Viridiplantae, Streptophyta, Magnoliopsida, Fabales, Fabaceae.